UUACGGGAGGCAGCAGUAGGGAAUCUUCCGCAAUGGGCGAAAGCCUGACGGAGCAACGCCGCGUGAGUGAAGAAGGCCUUCGGGUUGUAAAGCUCUGUCUUAUGGGAAGAAGCAAGUGACGGUACCAUAAGAGGAAGCCACGGCUAACUACGUGCCAGCAGCCGCGGUAAUACGUAGGUGGCAAGCGUUGUCCGGAAUUACUGGGCGCAAAGGGUGCGCAGGCGGAUGCUUAAGUCGGAUGUGAAAUCUUAAGGCUCAACCUUAAGUUUGCAUUUGAAACUGGGCAUCUUGAGUGCAGGAGAGGGCAGUGGAAUUCCUAGUGUAGCGGUGAAAUGCGUAGAUAUUAGGAGGAACACCAGUGGCGAAGGCGGCUGCCUGGACUGUAACUGACGCUGAGGCACGAAAGCGUGGGGAGUGAACAGGAUUAGAUACCCUAGUA
Molecule: ribosomal RNA, 439 nt
Filed under: uncultured bacterium
Lineage: Bacteria
Description: bacterial SSU rRNA
Rfam family: Bacterial small subunit ribosomal RNA
Source: RNAcentral